This 129-nucleotide ribosomal RNA is filed under the name Flavobacteriales bacterium. RNAcentral describes it as "partial 23S ribosomal RNA". It matches the Rfam family "Bacterial large subunit ribosomal RNA", at positions 2783 to 2925 of the family's 2925-position model. The record is from RNAcentral. Lineage: Bacteria; Pseudomonadati; Bacteroidota; Flavobacteriia; Flavobacteriales.
AAGCGCGAAACCCACCACAAGAUGAGAUUUCUUUAAAGGGUCGUGGAAGAUGACCACGUUGAUAGGCUAUAGAUGUAAAGGCAGUAAUGUCAUAGUCGAGUAGUACUAAUAACCCGUAAGCUUAUGUAU